Molecule: ribosomal RNA, 402 nt
Filed under: uncultured bacterium
Lineage: Bacteria
Description: bacterial SSU rRNA
Rfam family: Bacterial small subunit ribosomal RNA
Source: RNAcentral
UAAGGAAUCUUCCACAAUGGGGGCAACCCUGAUGGAGCAACGCCGCGUGAAGGAUGAAGGCCCUAGGGUCGUAAACUUCUUUUAUUGGUGAAGAAUAUGACGGUAACCAAUGAAUAAGGGUCGGCUAACUACGUGCCAGCAGCCGCGGUCAUACGUAGGACCCAAGCGUUAUCCGGAGUGACUGGGCGUAAAGAGUUGCGUAGGCGGCUUAAUAAGUGGAUAGUGAAACCUGGUGGCUCAACCAUACAGACUAUUAUCCAAACUGUUAAGCUCGAGAAUGGUAGAGGUGGCUGGAAUUUCUAGUGUAGGAGUGAAAUCCGUAGAUAUUAGAAGGAACACCGAUGGCGUAGGCAGGCCACUGGACCAUUUCUGACGCUAAGGCACGAAAGCGUGGGGAGCGAA